GAUGAACGCUGGCGGCGUGCCUAAUACAUGCAAGUCGAGCGAACAGAUGAGGAGCUUGCUCCUCUGACGUUAGCGGCGGACGGGUGAGUAACACGUGGAUAACCUACCUAUAAGACUGGGAUAACUUCGGGAAACCGGAGCUAAUACCGGAUAAUAUAUUGAACCGCAUGGUUCAAUAGUGAAAGACGGUUUUGCUGUCACUUAUAGAUGGAUCCGCGCCGCAUUAGCUAGUUGGUAAGGUAACGGCUUACCAAGGCAACGAUGCGUAGCCGACCUGAGAGGGUGAUCGGCCACACUGGAACUUAGACACGGUCCAGACUCCUACGGGAGGCAGCAGUAGGGAAUCUUCCGCAAUGGGCGAAAGCUUGACGGAGCAACGCCGCGUGAGUGAUGAAGGUCUUCGGAUCGUAAAACUCUGUUAUUAGGGAAGAACAAAUGUGUAAGUAACUAUGCACGUCUUGACGGUACCUAAUCAGAAAGCCACGGCUAACUACGUG
RNAcentral lists this ribosomal RNA (497 nucleotides) under uncultured bacterium. RNAcentral's name for it is "partial 16S ribosomal RNA". It matches the Rfam family "Bacterial small subunit ribosomal RNA", at positions 28 to 507 of the family's 1533-position model. The record is from RNAcentral.